UUAAGUCAGGCAACAAGCAAGAUCCCUGCCUCUAGUUGCUACUGCUGGUCUCAGGACUAGCAGGGCUAAUUAGAGGGACCGCCGCCGCUGAGGCGGAGGAAGGAGGGGGCUACGGCAGGUCAGUAUGCCCCGAAGCCCUCGGGCCACACGCGGGCUGCAAUGGUAAGGACAGCGGGUUCCGAUUCCGAAAGGAGGAGGCAAUCCCACAAACCUUACCACAGUUAUGAUUGAGGGCUGAAACUCGCCCUCAUGAAUCUGGAAUCCCUAGUAACCGCGUGUCACUAUCGCGCGGUGAAUACGUCCCUGCUCCUUGCACA
This 317-nucleotide ribosomal RNA is filed under the name uncultured archaeon. RNAcentral describes it as "bacterial SSU rRNA". It matches the Rfam family "Archaeal small subunit ribosomal RNA", at positions 1029 to 1343 of the family's 1478-position model. The record is from RNAcentral.